GACGAACGCUGGCGGCGUGCUUAACACAUGCAAGUCGAACGAUGAAGCGGUGGUUGCCUCGUGGAUUAGUGGCGAACGGGUGGGUAAAACGCGAGUGUCCUAUAUUUUACUCUGGGGUAUACCUGUGCCACUGGGCAGAUUACCCGAUAUGACCAUUCUCUGCCUGGUGUGUUGGCGGGAAGCGUUACGGAGUGGUUUUAGAUGGGCUCACGGCCUAUCAGCUUGUUGGUGAGGUAAUGGCUCACCAAGGCGAAGACGGGUAGCGGGCCUGAGAGGGUGACGCGCCACACUGGGAGUGAGACACGGCACAGUCUCAUACGGGAGGCAGCAGUGGGGUAUAUUGCAAAAGGGGAGCGAGCCUGAUGGAGCGACGCCGUGUGAGGGAUGACGGCCUACGGGGUGAAGACCUCUGUUAGCGGAGAAGGAGCGAAAGUGACGGUAGGUGCAGAGAAAGCGCCGGCUAACUACGUG
Molecule: ribosomal RNA, 471 nt
Filed under: uncultured bacterium
Lineage: Bacteria
Description: partial 16S ribosomal RNA
Rfam family: Bacterial small subunit ribosomal RNA
Source: RNAcentral